AUACCAUCUAGUGAGUCGGCUUGCCUUAAUGUAUAUAUGCAGAAAUUUAAAUAAAGCUGGCAAUACUAAUGCCAUGAUACAAGCCUUAAGGGCAAUCAAAAUCACUAAGGUCCCUGAGAAUAGCUACUCCA
This is a small nucleolar RNA of Dipodomys ordii (Ord's kangaroo rat), 131 nucleotides long. The record is from Ensembl. NCBI's taxonomy places the organism in Eukaryota, Metazoa, Chordata, Mammalia, Rodentia, Heteromyidae.